This 465-nucleotide ribosomal RNA is filed under the name uncultured bacterium. RNAcentral's name for it is "partial 16S ribosomal RNA". It matches the Rfam family "Bacterial small subunit ribosomal RNA", at positions 28 to 507 of the family's 1533-position model. The record is from RNAcentral.
GACGAACGCUGGCGGCGUGCUUAACACAUGCAAGUCGAACGGAAAGGCCCCUUUGGGGGUACUCGAGUGGCGAACGGGUGAGUAACACGUGAGUAACCUGCCCUUGACUUCGGGAUAACUUCAGGAAACUGGGGCUAAUACCGGUUAGGAAUCAUUGCUGCAUGGUGGGGGUUGGAAAGCUUCGGCGGCUUUGGAUGGACUCGCGGCUUAUCAGCUUGUUGGUGGGGUAGUGGCUUACCAAGGCUUUGACGGGUAGCCGGCCUGAGAGGGCGACCGGCGACAUUGGGACUGAGGUACGGCACAGACGCCUACGGGAGGCAGCAGUGGGGAAUAUUGCACAAUGGGCGGAGGCCGGAUGCAGCAGCGCCGCGGGCGGGAUGACGGCCUUCGGGUUGUAGACCGCUUUCAGCAGGGGCGAAGCUUGUGGUGACGGUACCUGCAGAAGAAGCACCGGCUAACUACGUG